GACGAACGCUGGCGGCGUGCUUAACACAUGCAAGUCGAACGAUGAAGCCCAGCUUGUGUGGUGGGCUCGAGUGGAACGCGUGAGAAAAACACGAGUAUACCACCCCUAACACUGUGGUAUACCUGGAAAAAACGGUGUAUUAUCGGAUACAACCGAUCCCGCUGCGGGGUGGGGGUGGGAAGCGUUAGGCGGUUGUGGAUGGACUCGCGGCGUAUCAGCUUGUUGGUGGGGUAGUGGCUUACCAAGGCGGCGACGGGUAGCCGGCCUGAGAGGGUGACCGGCCACACUGGGACUGAGACACGGCCCAGACUCCUACGGGAGGCAGCAGUGGGGAAUAUUGCACAAUGGGCGGAAGCCUGAUGCAGCGACGCCGCGUGCGGGAUGACGGCCUUCGGGUUGUAAACCUCUGUUGGCUGGGAAGAAGAGAGAUUGACGGUACCUGCUGAGGAAGCGCCGGCUAACUACGUG
This 468-nucleotide ribosomal RNA is filed under the name uncultured bacterium. RNAcentral describes it as "partial 16S ribosomal RNA". It matches the Rfam family "Bacterial small subunit ribosomal RNA", at positions 28 to 507 of the family's 1533-position model. The record is from RNAcentral.